CCCCCCAACCACUUUUUGGUUUUGUUUUGUUUUUUUACUUUCCAAUUCAUCCCGGAAGGCUCUAGCGGACCCGCUUGUCGGUCCCGAUGUUUGACACCCCUGGUAUAUGGGACGGACAUUUAAGACAAACGGUGUGAGAGGGGCAAAAAAAAUGGGUCCAAAUCUGGUUGAUUGCUGCUGGCUUUUUCAACCGUUUUUCACAGAAUCUGUCACGACUACAAUUUAGCUAAUUUCAACUUAAAGUAAAUCAUCAUUUUUCAAAAUUGCGAUUUUUUUGGGGGGGGGGGUGAAUUUAAUUUUACAUUGAAAUGCACAGCUUCCCUCCUCCUGGACUUACAGGGACAAUCGUAACCUACUUUUUUUUUUGUAACCCCCCCCCCCCAACCCCCCACAGCCAUCAACCAGACGUGUCCAUCAAUUUUUUCCCCCCCACCCGCCCUUUCACGCCAUGCCGUCCAAUCAGACGCUGCCUAACGCUAUUGCUCACUCGUUAUUAUAUAUCAGGAUGUCCUUCUGUUUACUUUUGUUUGAUUUUUUUUUUCUUCUUACUGAAUAGUCAUUUUGUUUUAAAAACGAAACAAACAAAAAAAGCGAUGGUUUGCUGUUGUUGACUGGUGUGUGUGUGUUAGGGGGGUGGGGGGGCGGAAUGACAAACCUUCCUUGACCUCUGCAAUUAAGUGUGUUGUAUGUGUAUAUUUGUUUGUAAAUACAUAUACACACCAGCCAUGUACAAAAAUGCUCUGCGGUACACCAUCUUUGGCAUAAAAAUGACGACGGGGGGGAAAAAAACACAAAAAGGUUAGCAUAAAGUUUUUUGGGGGGUUUUUUCGGGGGGGGGGGGGUUCCUCUAUAAAUAGUAUUGAUACUGUGAUAAUGGCUUUUGUUGAUUCUAAAAGGAGACGUCACAGAGCUGAGUGGUCAAUUAGCAGUCAUAUAAAUACGUGAUGAUUUUAAGAGUAAUUUUUUUUAUUUAUCUAAUUUAUGGACCAGAUUUCAAGGUGUUGAUAAUUUCGACUGCCUUUUCUUCCGUGUUAUUAGGCUUUCUCUUUGGUUUUCCUACGGACGGAGCCCUACCUGUGUCUGAACUGCUGUUUAAAAAAGAAAAAAAAAAGGAAUAUGUGGUAUUACAAGGACUUUUCGGCGUCUACUUUCUUUUCGGGGACGAUUUCCAUUUUUCUAAGGAGACCUCAUGUUUAAUUUAGUUGAGGGGGUGAAAAGUGUAUUUGCUUUAGGUUAUAUAUAUACAUUUUGAGACAGCGCUGUAAUGCUUACCUACCUAAAAAAGCAAAAUGACAUUUCAAACGGUGUUUUGGGAUUGGUUAGCUCUGUGUUUUGUUGCAUUUUUUUCAGGCUUGCUUUUGCUGGUGCCAAUGAAGUACUGAUGAACUUUUUCAGGUGAUUUAUUAAUCCCUCAUUGUCAUGAAGGGCUACCACAGUACAUGCAGAAACGUGACUCCCCCCCAGCCCAUUUUUCUUUUCUACACCCCCCCGUUCUUGAGUAAGAAUGGUCUGGUCUUCUGCGGUGUUAGCCACGACUAGAACCUCAUGCGGUAGAUCUAUCUUUUACAAACACAAAACACGACAGCUGCAAUAUGUAUUUGCUUGUCAGCCAAUCGCCAACGAGAAACUGUGUGGGCUAGAACACUUAAAAUGUGUCCGUUAAACACAACUGAAGUAUUUUUUGUGUGGUCGACGAAUGUUGGGGAAAUUAUCUACAUAUUCAACUCACUGCUUGUCAUACGUUUUGUAGUUUAUUAAUGAACAAUUGUGAUCUUAUUGUUUUAUUAUUUAGCUUUUAAUGAUUUUGUUUAUCCACACAUUUGAAAUACAAUGGAGGGAAAUCCUCUUAAGCUCUGUCCACCCCCCUCCCCCCGCCCCCCCACACACUCCAAGGGCCUUGAACGCACCGCCGUAAACAUAAACUUUAUUGGCCUCUUGUCGUCACUUAAUCCUUAUGUUCCAGUACUGUGCAAAGUGCGGUUCGUGGACCAUAUACGGCCCAAUGGAGCCUUUCAUGUGGCCCACCAUGAAUUUCUGUAUUUUAUUUCUUUAAACAUCCAAAUGUUAAUAAUAGGCAAUUUAUUUUUUCACCUACGUUUUCUAUAUUACAUUUCUUUCCCUUGGCUUAAAAAGUGUUUUCCAUUGAUCGUGACGUUUGCGCAGUAAUCCUUGCCGCCAAAAUACCCAACAACCGAGUAUUUGAAACCUGCCCCAAAAAAAAUGUUUAUAACUGCUUAUAUGAAAAGGUAAAUAUAUCCGGGGUUUAUUUUUUCAACAUAACCUUAAAAAUAGUUUACAGAAAUAUGAACGACAUACCUUGAGCUACCCCUUCCCACCCGACUCCCCAAGAGAAAGUUACAGAAAGAGUACAAAAAAAAUCCACUUCAAAAAGCAGUGAAGAGGUGGUAAUCCCAUUUUUGUGCAAAUGGUACGUUAAAAUAAAGCAAUUACAAAUACGUUUACUUGGGGUUUUUUUUAAUUGCCAAAAAGACUGCCAUUUGUUUUGUUUCACACUAAAUACGUCGCCAGCUUCUGCUUGAGCCAAGGUGCCAGUGUUAAGUGCACAAAAUAUCUUAAUUGCGUGUGGGGUGUAAAAAUUGACUGACAGCCUUUUUUUUGUAGUUUGUGUUGCACAGUGGAGUACUAUUUGGCACAUUUAAAUUUUUUACAAUAUACUGUAUAUAUAAUAUAUAUACAGGUAUAUCUAUAUAAACCAUGUAUGAACUGAAAAGAGGGACAGUGUUUGCAUGACACUUCAAUUUGUUCACUUGAUGUGUUUAUUUUCCUCACUAAAAUGACAACUAUUCUUUUAUUUGUUGCCUUGAUGCUCUUGUUACUUUGUAUUUUCAGAAAUGACCAGAACACUAUCGUUGAUAUGAUUUUAAGACCACUUCCCAUCCUCGCUUCCUCUUCAAGGCUCGUAGAGUGGUGUGUGUGUGUAAGGGGUGUGUAUGCGCGCGUGUGUGUUUGUGUAUGGAUGUAUGUAUCUAUAUUAAUAGAUAUAUAUAUAGAUAUAUGUGGUAUGACCACGCCAGGCUCGCAAAGUGCCAACACACCACUGCCAACCGGAGAUACCCCCUCCCUGUGCACCUCACCCCACUCACCCCCACCCACAUUCUCUUUUUAAACGAUAAGGCACCAGAGACUAAAAAGGAUAGAUGAUUAAGUGGGUAAAGAUUAUAUUCUAUAAGAACAUUUUAAAGGAUAAUCUGCUGUUUGUGUGUUCAAAAUAAGAAACUGUAAUAAUAAUUAUUGCAUGUGCUGUUUUUUUUUUGCAAGUGAGGGGCUUUGGAUGUAUUGACUGAAAGCCUUUUUGGCUGCAGUUGGCUGGUUAUCGAUUUACAUAACUCUUUGCCAUAUUUUUUAAUGUCUUCAUGCGUUUGUUUUGUUUUUCUCAACCACUGUUGCCUGAUCCUCAUUCAAACAUGAUGUAUGAUCAUUUUUUGCCGCCUUCUAAAGAAACAUAAUGACAAGGUUAUCUGUUUUAAACACUGAAAUAAAUUUGUUCCUAUACUUGCUGA
This is a long non-coding RNA of Hippocampus zosterae (dwarf seahorse), 3521 nucleotides long. RefSeq lists it as uncharacterized. The transcript has 2 exons. Lineage: Eukaryota; Metazoa; Chordata; Actinopteri; Syngnathiformes; Syngnathidae. The record is from RefSeq and is a predicted model, not a curated record.